GGAAAGCUGCUGAGACCCAUCCUUCUCUAAGAGAAUCUGUGGAAGGGGGAAUUCAGGAAUAUGUUGUUGAGCACCUACAGUUUUCUGAGACAGACUGAGUCUUCAAACAUGACAAAAUUGCUGUAAUAUACAACUUGAGGAUCUUGAGCCACGCUCUGGAUCUAGGGUGGGCGUGUAUGUGUUGGCAGAGAAAGCUUGAAGGAAGCACAACAACAUCAUCACUAGGUUUAGACAUUUUGACCUUCAAUCUUAUCUUUAGGAUUUGCAGCUGGUUAACUAGUACAGCCUGCUUAUAAAUAAAUUUAUCAGCAGCAGCUUUCAGUGUUUUAUCUCCAGCCAUUGUUUCAUUUCCUGCAUGUUCUUCCUAAGAGUCCAUUUUGAGUCAGCUCUAUAUAGUCUGGAAGAAUAUCAUGCAGGUAAACCUAAGGACACAAAAUUUUAAUAAAAAUAAG
This is a non-coding RNA of Pelodiscus sinensis (Chinese soft-shelled turtle), 452 nucleotides long. Lineage: Eukaryota; Metazoa; Chordata; Testudines; Trionychidae. The record is from RefSeq and is a predicted model, not a curated record.